GGGGGCGUGGCGCAACUGGUAGCGCACCUGCUUUGCAAGCAGGGGGUUAGGGGUUCGAGUCCCCUCGCCUCCACC
This 75-nucleotide transfer RNA is filed under the name Pseudokineococcus marinus. Its description in RNAcentral is "tRNA-Ala". It matches the Rfam family "tRNA". Rfam says of the family: Transfer RNA (tRNA) molecules are approximately 80 nucleotides in length. The record is from RNAcentral. Lineage: Bacteria; Bacillati; Actinomycetota; Actinomycetes; Kineosporiales; Kineosporiaceae. RNAcentral also lists the same sequence under 1 other name.